This 482-nucleotide ribosomal RNA is filed under the name uncultured bacterium. RNAcentral's name for it is "bacterial SSU rRNA". It matches the Rfam family "Bacterial small subunit ribosomal RNA", at positions 29 to 506 of the family's 1533-position model. The record is from RNAcentral.
UUGAACGCUGGCGGCAUGCUUUACACAUGCAAGUCGAACGGUAACAGGGAGCUUGCUCCGCUGACGAGUGGCGAACGGGUGAGUAAUGCAUCGGAACGUACCCAGUCGUGGGGGAUAACGUAGCGAAAGUUACGCUAAUACCGCAUACGUCCUGAGGGAGAAAGCGGGGGACCGUAAGGCCUCGCGCGAUUGGAGCGGCCGAUGUCGGAUUAGCUAGUUGGUGGGGUAAAGGCCUACCAAGGCGACGAUCCGUAGCGGGUCUGAGAGGAUGAUCCGCCACACUGGGACUGAGACACGGCCCAGACUCCUACGGGAGGCAGCAGUGGGGAAUUUUGGACAAUGGGGGCAACCCUGAUCCAGCCAUGCCGCGUGAGUGAAGAAGGCCUUCGGGUUGUAAAGCUCUUUCAGACGGAAAGAAAACGCAUCGGUGAAUACCCGGUGUGGAUGACGGUACCGUAAGAAGAAGCACCGGCUAACUACGU